UGGGGAAUUUUCCGCAAUGGGCGAAAGCCUGACGGAGCAACGCCGCGUGAGGGAUGAAGGCCUCUGGGCUGUAAACCUCUUUUAUCAAGGAAGAAGAUCUGACGGUACUUGAUGAAUAAGCCACGGCUAAUUCCGUGCCAGCAGCCGCGGUAAUACGGGAGUGGCAAGCGUUAUCCGGAAUUAUUGGGCGUAAAGCGUCCGCAGGCGGUCUUGUAAUUCGGCCUUUAAACCUGGAACUUUACUUCCUUUUCGCCAAGGGAAAUGGGAGGAUUGAAUGGGGGAAGGGGCAAAGGGAAUUCCGGGGGUACGGGGAAAUGGCGUAAAUAUCGGAAAAAACACCAUGGGCAAAGGCCUCCUGCUGGGCCUUGAUGGACCCUCUGGGACAAAACCCGGGGGAGCGAAGGGAAUUAAAUACCCCGGUAUCC
Molecule: ribosomal RNA, 425 nt
Filed under: uncultured cyanobacterium
Lineage: Bacteria; Bacillati; Cyanobacteriota
Description: bacterial SSU rRNA
Rfam family: Bacterial small subunit ribosomal RNA
Source: RNAcentral